Molecule: small RNA, 648 nt
Filed under: Pongo abelii (Sumatran orangutan)
Lineage: Eukaryota; Metazoa; Chordata; Mammalia; Primates; Hominidae
Description: retained intron
Source: RNAcentral
GGAUGGGGAGGAGGGUGCAGGUAGGGAGAUCAGUGACUGAGUUUAUGAACUUACUGGUGGAGCAGUCUCUAGUGAUGACGGGCGACUGGGGCAUGGCCUUGAGAGUGGUACCAAAAGACUGAGAUUCUUUCUCCCUGAAAGGUCUGUGAUGGUGCCUGUGUUGAAAAUGCUUUCAUGUUAGUUGUGUACACACAUUUCAUCUGUAUCCCUGUUUCUUUUCUCCCUACAGAAACAUAUGAGGAUUUUGAUACCAGGAUACUUGAGGUAAGAAAUGUUUUCACUAUGACUGCGAAAGAGGGAAGAAGGAAAUCGAUCCGUGUCCUGGUGGCUGUGGGGAACGGAAAAGGAGCUGCAGGUGAAUGGGGAGUGAUGGCAUCACAGUGGCGGUGGUGUGCAGGGAAAGGCGUGGCACGGGCCGUGCUGUGGAGCCCAUGGGCUCAUGCUGCUGGCCAGACUUUUUCCAUUGAUUAAACCUUUUAGUGGUUUGGGUUCACAAAGCUUGUGGUAAGUCCGUAACUUCCCUUAGAGAGAAAAGAGAGAAUAGAUUCUACUGUACUUGCCUUUUCCUCUGAGGAAAAGGAAUGUUAUAAAAGGCUGAAGACAUUAUUUUAUUAUGUAUAAUAGUGGAAAAUUAGGGAGAAAAACACU